UUUUGUGGUCUUCUACCCAGUUUUCGGUAGUUGUAAAUCCUAUGUUGUUGUUGUAUCCCUAGCGGAGUCUGUGCUUUCUUGUGGAUAAUUGCCGUAUGCUAGCAAUUUUAUCCUCAGCCAGAGUUUUUGGUCUUCUACCCCGUAUUCGGUAGUUGUAAAUCCUAAUUUCUCCCUUUUGCAGAGUUAACCUUGUUGUUCAUCCUAACC
This 207-nucleotide long non-coding RNA is filed under the name Lathyrus oleraceus (garden pea). Its description in RNAcentral is "Pisum sativum (pea) long non-coding RNA (PSAT_LNC023733)". Lineage: Eukaryota; Viridiplantae; Streptophyta; Magnoliopsida; Fabales; Fabaceae. The record is from RNAcentral.